Molecule: ribosomal RNA, 856 nt
Filed under: uncultured archaeon
Lineage: Archaea
Description: SSU rRNA
Rfam family: Archaeal small subunit ribosomal RNA
Source: RNAcentral
UACCAGCUCUCCGAGUGGUGUGGAUGUUUAUUGGGCCUAAAGCAUCCGUAGCUGGCCAAGUUAGUCCCCUGUUAAACCCACCGAAUUAAUCGUUGGCUUGCGGGGGAUACUGCUCGGCUAGGGGACGGGAGAGGCAGACGGUAUUUUCGGGGUAGGGGUGAAAUCCUAUAAUCCCGGGAAGACCACCAGUGGCGAAGGCUGUCUGCUAGAACGCGCCCGACGGUGAGGGAUGAAAGCUGGGGGAGCGAACCGGAUUAGAUACCCGGGUAGUCCCAGCUGUAAACGAUGCAGGCUAGGUGUUUGGACGGCCACGUGCCGUUCUAGUGCCGCAGGGAAGCUGUUAAGCCUGCCGCCUGGGGAGUACGGUCGCAAGAUUGAAACUUAAAGGAAUUGGCGGGGGAGCACCACAAGGGGUGAAGCUUGCGGUUUAAUUGGAGUCAACGCCGGAAAUCUCACCGGGAGCGACAGCAGUUUGAAGGCCAGAUUAAAGGUCUUGCCAGACGAGCUGAGAGGAGGUGCAUGGCCGUCGCCAGUUCGUGCCGUGAGGUGUCCUGUUAAGUCAGGCAACGAUCGAGACCCGCGUCCUCUGUUGCAACCAGCCUUGAGCUGGGCACACUGAGGAGACCGCCGCUGAUAAAGCGGAGGAAGGAGCGGGCCACGGCAGGUCAGUAUGCCCCGAAUCUCCCGGGCCACACGCGAGCUGCAAUGGCAGGUACAAUGGGUUCCGACCUCGUAAGGGGAAGGCAAUCUCGAAAGCCUGCCGUAGUUGGGAUUGAGGGUUGUAACCCAUCCUCAUGAACAUGGAAUCCCUAGUAAUCGCGUGUCAUCAGCGCGCGGUGAAUACGUCCCUGCUCCU